AACCAUAGAAACCUGCGGAGUACCUGCGGAAGGAUCAUUCAAAAGUGUCUAAAUAUGGACAACUUUAUCCAUAUUCACCUUGUGUGCACUGUUUCACCGUUGACUUUGGCAUGUUUAUUGAGCUCGACGAAGGUUUUACCAACUUUCUGUGGUGCCUCAGACAUGUAAAAGAGGAAUCCUUAUGGAACUCUGCGCGUGUGGCAUGCCAAAGUUUUUAUCCAACGAAAACACUUGAAAUUU
Molecule: unclassified non-coding RNA, 240 nt
Filed under: soil metagenome
Description: partial contains 5.8S ribosomal RNA, internal transcribed spacer 2, and large subunit ribosomal RNA
Source: RNAcentral